UACGUAGGGUGCGAGCGUUGUCCGGAAUUAUUGGGCGUAAAGAGCUCGUAGGCGGUGUGUCACGUCGGCCGUGAAAACCUGCAGCUUAACUGUGGGCGUGCGGUCGAUACGGGCAUCACUGGAGUUCGGCAGGGGAGACUGGAAUUCCUGGUGUAGCGGUGAAAUGCGCAGAUAUCAAGAGGAACACCAGUGGCGAAGGCGGAUCUCUGGGCCUUACCUGACGCUCAGGCGCGAAAGCUAGGGGAGCAAACAGG
This 254-nucleotide ribosomal RNA is filed under the name uncultured bacterium. Its description in RNAcentral is "partial 16S ribosomal RNA". It matches the Rfam family "Bacterial small subunit ribosomal RNA", at positions 524 to 776 of the family's 1533-position model. The record is from RNAcentral.